GCUCAGAUUGAACGCUGGCGGCAGGCCUAACACAUGCAAGUCGAGCGGAUGAAGGGAGCUUGCUCCUGGAUUCAGCGGCGGACGGGUGAGUAAUGCCUAGGAAUCUGCCUGGUAGUGGGGGAUAACGUCCGGAAACGGGCGCUAAUACCGCAUACGUCCUGAGGGAGAAAGUGGGGGAUCUUCGGACCUCACGCUAUCAGAUGAGCCUAGGUCGGAUUAGCUAGUUGGUGGGGUAAAGGCCUACCAAGGCGACGAUCCGUAACUGGUCUGAGAGGAUGAUCAGUCACACUGGAACUGAGACACGGUCCAGACUCCUACGGGAGGCAGCAGUGGGGAAUAUUGGACAAUGGGCGAAAGCCUGAUCCAGCCAUGCCGCGUGUGUGAAGAAGGUCUUCGGAUUGUAAAGCACUUUAAGUUGGGAGGAAGGGCAGUAAGUUAAUACCUUGCUGUUUUGACGUUACCAACAGAAUAAGCACCGGCUAACUUCGUGCCAGCAGCCGCGGUAAUACGAAGGGUGCAAGCGUUAAUCGGAAUUACUGGGCGUAAAGCGCGCGUAGGUGGUUCAGCAAGUUGGAUGUGAAAUCCCCGGGCUCAACCUGGGAACUGCAUCCAAAACUACUGAGCUAGAGUACGGUAGAGGGUGGUGGAAUUUCCUGUGUAGCGGUGAAAUGCGUAGAUAUAGGAAGGAACACCAGUGGCGAAGGCGACCACCUGGACUGAUACUGAC
Molecule: ribosomal RNA, 727 nt
Filed under: Pseudomonas aeruginosa
Lineage: Bacteria; Pseudomonadati; Pseudomonadota; Gammaproteobacteria; Pseudomonadales; Pseudomonadaceae
Description: bacterial SSU rRNA
Rfam family: Bacterial small subunit ribosomal RNA
Source: RNAcentral